AUUUCACUUGAAGCUGAGAGUGGGGUGGGAGUUGAAACAGGUGCUAACAGCAAGUGAAUUUUGUCGCCUUUGGGGGCUGUGACUGCGCCUCUCAAAGUGAAUUAGAAGGUUCUACGCUC
Small nucleolar RNA from Pipistrellus kuhlii (Kuhl's pipistrelle), 119 nucleotides. RefSeq annotates it as small nucleolar RNA SNORA68. The record is from RefSeq and is a predicted model, not a curated record. The transcript has a single exon. NCBI's taxonomy places the organism in Eukaryota, Metazoa, Chordata, Mammalia, Chiroptera, Vespertilionidae.